AUUGGUUGAAAAUCGCCCCCUUGCUUUGGCUGUGCAUGCAAGUGGGAUUUGACGCCCAGAACCCCCAGGGCCUCAGCUCACCACACACUGCUUCAUAUGCAGCAGUGAAACCCGGGCCCCAACAGGU
Molecule: small nucleolar RNA, 127 nt
Organism: Aotus nancymaae (Ma's night monkey)
Lineage: Eukaryota; Metazoa; Chordata; Mammalia; Primates; Aotidae
Source: Ensembl